RNAcentral lists this ribosomal RNA (688 nucleotides) under uncultured bacterium. Its description in RNAcentral is "bacterial SSU rRNA". It matches the Rfam family "Bacterial small subunit ribosomal RNA", at positions 207 to 876 of the family's 1533-position model. The record is from RNAcentral.
UGGGGGCUCUUCGGACCUCAUGCUAUCGGAUGAACCCAGGUGGGAUUAGCUAUUUGGUGAUGUAAUGGCUCACCAAGGCGACGAUCUCUAUCUGGUUUGAGAGAAUGACCAGUCACACUGGAACUGAGACACGGUCCAGACUCCUACGGGAGGCAGCAGUGGGGAAUAUUGCACAAUGGGCGCAAGCCUGAUGCAGCCAUGCCGCGUGUGUGAAGAAGGCCUUCGGGUUGUAAAGCACUUUCAACGGGGAGGAAAGGUCACUAGAUAAUACCUAGUGGCAUUGACGUUUCUCGCACAAUAAACACCGGCUAACUCCGUGCCAACAGCCGCGGUAAUACGGAGGGUGCAAGCGUUAAUCUGAAUUACUGGGCGUAAAGCGCACGCAGGCGGUUUGUUAAGUCAGAUGUGAAAUCCCCGAGCUCAACUUGGGAACUGCAUUUGAAACUGGCAAGCUAGAGUCUUGUAGAGGCGGGUAGAAUUCCUGGUGUAUCGGUGAAAUGCGUAGAGAUCUGGAGGAAUACCGGUGGCUAAGGCGGCCCCCUGGACAAAGACUGACGCUCAGGUGCGAAAGCGUGGGGAGCAAACAGGAUUAUAUACCCUGGUCGUCCACGCUGUAAAGGAUGUCUAUUUGGAUGUUGUGCCCUUGAGGCGUGGCUUCCGGAGCUAACGCGUUAAAUCGACCGUCUGG